This is a non-coding RNA of Cricetulus griseus (Chinese hamster), 2217 nucleotides long. The record is from RefSeq and is a predicted model, not a curated record. NCBI's taxonomy places the organism in Eukaryota, Metazoa, Chordata, Mammalia, Rodentia, Cricetidae.
AGUCUGACUCCCUUCCCCUCUAGUCUGCACUGGUCUUGGAGAUAGAUAGAUAGAUAGAUAGAUAGAUAGAUAGAUAGAUAUAGAGAUAACUGAAUGUGACUUUCAAAGCUGCUUCAAUUUGGGCAUCUUGAAUGUUCUGUGCUGGAGUCACCUCACACCCGGCUCUAUGGAGAGAGCCAGGAAGCAGGGAAUCCUCCCCGACCACCCCAGCUGGGCCUGGCUUGCCAACCAUUUCCACCACAGCCCCAGAAGAUGUGGGAGUGAGCCAUCUUGGACUCCAGACCAACCAUUAUUCCAGAGGAUGCAGCGCCGGAGUCAUCUGCCUGGAUUUCUGACCAGCUCAUCAUGGGAUAGAUUGUGACAUCCUUGAGGAGUAGGUAGGUGGUCUGGAGCCAAUGUGGUGAUCCCAUGAUCCAGAACUCAGCCACCUUCUUGUGGGUGACUGUCAUGUUCAACAGAUGACUUCCUCCCAGUGACUCAAGAUGGCUGCCAAGACUCAGACUAUGACAUCUGCAUUCCAGCCAGCUCAGAGGAGGAAGGCAUCAGGAAGGCAUGAAGACACCACUCUCAGGAGAAAUUGGCAAGAGAUGUUAACAGCGUGAGAAACGUGUCAGACAAUAAUAACAAAAGUAGCCGAGGCCAUUAUAGCUGUCGCAUGGAAGGCUAACUGGAUGUGCUCUCUGCCUUUCUUCAGGGACAAGCCAGGACCACACAUGUAAGAUAUGGGGGGAGAUGGCUCAGCUUUCACCUAAGAAAGUAAAUCAGAGUGGACUGUUGUCAAAAUAGACCACCUGGGAAAGAAGUCACACCAACUAACGUUUAUUGGAAAGCAGAUGAAAGGCCCUGAAUUUUAUUUGCUUAUUUUGAAUCUGCCAUGCAUCCCACAGCUUUAAAUGUAAAAACAAUGCAGACAAGUGUGGGGCAACAGGCUGUGUCCUCAUGUUCAUGUUUCUCCUCCAUAUCUGAUUUCCACAUACAAGAACAUUUUUUAAGUACUUCCAAAGUUUCUAGAGGCACAUGCAAACCCAUUCCUAUGCCCUUCCUUGUUAAAAGACUUCUUUCUAUUAUUUUAAGUGUGUGUGUGUGUGUGUGUGUGUGUGUGUGUGUGUGUGUGUGUACUCACCCUUACGUGUAUAUGUAUAUGUGCACAUGAGUGCAGGGGCCUGCAGACCACAAGAGUCAAAUUCACUUGGAUCUGGAGCUUCAAGCUCCUCUGAUGUGGGUGCUAGGAAUUGAACUCCGGUCCUUCACAAGAGCAGUACAAUCUCUUAACGACUGAACCAUCUUUCCAGCCCCCCCUUCCUUUCUUGUAUAAAAGACAAUACAACACACCAUGUCUUUGCUUCAAGUUGGAUUUUUUUCUAUGCACCUAGCAUGAUCCUCUUUUCUGUUGGCCUAAUGUUUCUCUCUCUGCCUCUCUCUCUCUCUCUCUCUCUCUCUCUCUCUCUCUGUUUUUCAAGACAGGAUUUCUCUGUGUAGCUUUGUAGACCAGGCUGGCCUUGAACUCACAGAGAUCAACCUGCCUCUCCCUCCCAGCUGCUGGGAUUAAAGGCGUGAACCCACCACUGCCUGGCUCCUAAUAUUUUUUUAAACCCAUAUAGUUAGCUAGCUAACUAGUAGCCCAGGCUAGCUUUGUUGAGUCCCCACCCCAAGGAGACAGGGACACAUGUAACCUAAGCUAGUCUCCAACUACUAAGUACUUGAAGGUUAUCUUGAGCUCCAAAUCCUGUUUCCUCCACGUGGGAUUACACGUGGGAUUUCAUGUGUGUGCCACCAUGCCCAGUGUUUGCAAUAAUGCAGACAAAGCCAUGUCCUUGUGCACCAAGGCAAGCUGCAUUCCCCAGUCCAGGGCUUGUUGGAUUCUUAGUUUCAUUACUUUCACUUUCAGGUUUUUAUUUAUUUAUUUAUUUAUUAUGUAUACAGUGUUCUGCCUGCAUGUAUCCCUGCAGUCCAGAAGAGGGCACCAGACUACAUUACAGAUGGUUGUGAGCUGCCAUGUGGUAGCUGGGAAUUGAACUCAGGACCUCUGGAAAAAUGGGCAGUGCUCUUAACCUCUGAGCCAUCUCUCCAGCCUUCACUUUCAGUUUUACAGUGUCCAUUUGAUUCUUUUUAAAGGUUCUAAUUCUCUGAUGGAAGGUUGCAUUCUUAUCUCUUCACCCAUUUUUUCUGGUUUCUUGAACAUAUACAAAAUAGCUAAUUAAAAUCCUUAAAAAUCUA